CGUGACGGCGCGAGCAGGUGCGAAAGCAGGUCAUAGUGAUCCGGUGGUUCUGAAUGGAAGGGCCAUCGCUCAACGGAUAAAAGGUACUCCGGGGAUAACAGGCUGAUACCGCCCAAGAGUUCAUAUCGACGGCGGUGUUUGGCACCUCGAUGUCGGCUCAUCACAUCCUGGGGCUGAAGUAGGUCCCAAGGGUAUGGCUGUUCGCCAUUUAAAGUGGUACGCGAGCUGGGUUUAGAACGUCGUGAGACAGUUCGGUCCCUAUCUGCCGUGGGCGCUGGAGAACUGAGGGGGGCUGCUCCUAGUACGAGAGGACCGGAGUGGACGCAUCACUGGUGUUCGGGUUGUCAUGCCAAUGGCACUGCCCGGUAGCUAAAUGCGGAAGAGAUAAGUGCUGAAAGCAUCUAAGCACGAAACUUGCCCCGAGAUGAGUUCUCCCUGACCCUUUAAGGGUCCUGAAGGAACGUUGAAGACGACGACGUUGAUAGGCCGGGUGUGUAAGCGCAGCGAUGCGUUGAGCUAACCGGUACUAAUGAACCGUGAGGCUUAACCUU
RNAcentral lists this ribosomal RNA (551 nucleotides) under Escherichia coli. RNAcentral's name for it is "partial 23S ribosomal RNA". It matches the Rfam family "Bacterial large subunit ribosomal RNA", at positions 2380 to 2925 of the family's 2925-position model. The record is from RNAcentral. Lineage: Bacteria; Pseudomonadati; Pseudomonadota; Gammaproteobacteria; Enterobacterales; Enterobacteriaceae.